This is a long non-coding RNA of Oxyura jamaicensis (ruddy duck), 854 nucleotides long. RefSeq lists it as uncharacterized. The transcript is spliced from 3 exons. NCBI's taxonomy places the organism in Eukaryota, Metazoa, Chordata, Aves, Anseriformes, Anatidae. The record is from RefSeq and is a predicted model, not a curated record.
GUAGACCCCUUCUUAUCUUGUUUCAGCCCAUGACCUCACCUGUUUUUCUCAUUUUUCCUCCAGCGUCCUGGCUGUUCUUGGUAAAGCUGAGGCAGAAUUUGCUUCGUUGUCCAGGUCUAGACAGCAGUCUGCCUUUUGAGUAGAUUGCCUCUAAUGCCUGGCUCCUUUUGGAAGCGUGGACAGGCCCAGGUCAUCUCUGAUGUAAGAGCACAGAUGAGCAGAAGCCUGCAAUGUUGAAAGUGCAACUGUCUGCAGGCUACAAGCAUCUGUGUCCAGAACAAAACCCUCACAACAGCUUCUGCCCAUAAGCAGGUCAGGAUUCCAGGAUCCCAGAUGUUUCUGAGCUUCAUCUGCAGGGUUCAGCGCCUGACAUCAUUGAUUGGCUUGUAGAGCCUGGUUCUGGUAUUCUGAUCUCAGCAGCAAUGUAUCAGAGGAGACAGAGAUGAAACAAAUCAGGCGCCAAAGCCAGCCCCGUGCUAACUAAUUGGAUGUGUCCGUGACCAGCGAGCAGCCCCACAGCUGCUGUUGCAGCCAUUUCAUUCCAUCUCGUGAGCAUUCUCAAAGCUUAGAGGAUUGCAUGCUCUGAUCCCCUUCCCAAAGGGCAAAUGCCUCAGGAGGAAACAGCCACGUUUGCAACAUCCCAAACAAAGUCAAACAGCAUCUUAGUGCGAGAAAGAGAAUAGUACUUCAGCUGGGCUUAGGAAAACUUACACUGUAAGAAGUUGGUCUAGUGCGCAGUCACCCUGGCUAGCGUCGCGUCCUUUUGCUAAUCUUACAUGUCUGUUUUCCACGUCUUGUGAAAAUCGGGUACUGAGCCAAAGCAUUAGCUCAGCCUGGAGCAGUUAAGGUGUGUC